UACACCCCACUUAGAGCUUAGCCCGCA
RNAcentral lists this non-coding RNA (27 nucleotides) under Mus musculus (house mouse). Lineage: Eukaryota; Metazoa; Chordata; Mammalia; Rodentia; Muridae. The record is from RNAcentral.